GUUACCCUGCUGUGAACGCUUAACUGAAUAAGUUUUGACCCAACACUUUUUUAAAAAAGGAAAUCGACCUCCGGGUGUGAAAUGCAAGCCUGGGGUUUCCUGAUAAGGUUACCUAAGAUUAACAGAAAUGUUAAUUGACCGGAAGCAUAAAGCAUUCGGGUAGAUAUCCACCUGUUUGAGGUUCGGUAUCAAAACUUGAAGUUAGCGACAUGGCGGGGUUAUU
RNAcentral lists this non-coding RNA (223 nucleotides) under Bacteroidales bacterium. RNAcentral's name for it is "6S RNA". It matches the Rfam family "6S / SsrS RNA". From Rfam's summary of the family: E. coli 6S RNA was the first non coding RNA to be sequenced, but its function was unknown until recently. It consists of 184 nucleotides that fold into an extended hairpin structure with a large single-stranded internal bulge. The 6S RNA specifically associates with RNA polymerase holoenzyme containing the sigma70 specificity factor. Lineage: Bacteria; Pseudomonadati; Bacteroidota; Bacteroidia; Bacteroidales. The record is from RNAcentral.